Molecule: long non-coding RNA, 272 nt
Organism: Notothenia coriiceps (black rockcod)
Lineage: Eukaryota; Metazoa; Chordata; Actinopteri; Perciformes; Nototheniidae
Exons: 3
Source: RefSeq, a predicted model, not a curated record
CCCUUUUGACAUAUUUCCAGAAAAGGCAACCAAUGAAAACAACACAACAGACGACUGGGGGAUCAUUAUGGACAUCUGUGAUAAGAUUGGAACGACAGCCAAUGGACCGAAGGACAGCUUGAGAUCCAUCAUGAAGAGAGUCAACCACAAAGUGCCUCAUGUUGCCAUGCAGGCCGUCAACUUGGUGGGUGCUUGUGUUUCUAACUGCGGCAAAAUCUUCCACCUGGAAAUCUGCUCGAGGGAGUUUUCCAGUGAAGUACGGAGUGUGCUCG